AACUUUCNACAACGGAUCUCUUGGUUCUGGCAUCGAUGAAGAACGCAGCGAAAUGCGAUAAGUAAUGUGAAUUGCAGAAUUCAGUGAAUCAUCGAAUCUUUGAACGCACAUUGCGCCCUCUGGUAUUCCGGAGGGCAUGCCUGUUCGAGCGUCAU
Molecule: ribosomal RNA, 155 nt
Filed under: leaf litter ascomycete strain its305
Lineage: Eukaryota; Fungi; Ascomycota
Description: 5.8S ribosomal RNA
Rfam family: 5.8S ribosomal RNA
About the family: 5.8S ribosomal RNA (5.8S rRNA) is a component of the large subunit of the eukaryotic ribosome.
Source: RNAcentral